RNAcentral lists this ribosomal RNA (273 nucleotides) under uncultured bacterium. Its description in RNAcentral is "partial 16S ribosomal RNA". It matches the Rfam family "Bacterial small subunit ribosomal RNA", at positions 523 to 796 of the family's 1533-position model. The record is from RNAcentral.
AUACGUAGGGGGCAAGCGUUAUCCGGAAUCAUUGGGCGUAAAGGGUGCGUAGGCGGCCAGAAAGGUCAGAGGUGAAAGGCUACGGCUUAACCGUAGUAAGCCUUUGAAACUAUUUGGCUUGAGUGCAGGAGAGGAAAGUGGAAUUCCUAGUGUAGCGGUGAAAUGCGUAGAUAUUAGGAGGAACACCAGUGGCGAAGGCGACUUUCUGGACUGUAACUGACGCUGAGGCACGAAAGCGUGGGGAGCAAACAGGAUUAGAUACCCUGGUAGUCC